This 324-nucleotide ribosomal RNA is filed under the name uncultured Chloroflexota bacterium. Its description in RNAcentral is "bacterial SSU rRNA". It matches the Rfam family "Bacterial small subunit ribosomal RNA", at positions 28 to 351 of the family's 1533-position model. Lineage: Bacteria; Bacillati; Chloroflexota. The record is from RNAcentral.
GAUAAACGCUGGCGGUGUGCCUAAUGCAUGCAAGUCGAACGGAGACAAAGCUUCGGUUUUAUCUCAGUGGCGAACGGGUGAGUAACGCGUUGGUGACCUGCCCCGAAGUGGGGGAUAACAGCUCGAAAGGGCUGCUAAUACCUCAUGUGGUCAUAAGGGUUAGAGGCCUUAUGUCUAAAGGAGUAAUCCGCUUCGGGAGGGGCCUGCGUCCCAUCAGCUAGUUGGUAGGGUAAUGGCCUACCAAGGCGACGACGGGUAGGGGACCUGAGAGGGUGGCCCCCCACACUGGCACUGAAACACGGGCCAGACACCUACGGGAGGCAG